RNAcentral lists this long non-coding RNA (248 nucleotides) under Hordeum vulgare. RNAcentral describes it as "long non-coding RNA (HVUL_LNC006061)". The record is from RNAcentral. Lineage: Eukaryota; Viridiplantae; Streptophyta; Magnoliopsida; Poales; Poaceae.
GUGCUCCUGUUUGCUUGUGACUUUGUGCAUACGGCCAGCCACCCACAGAUCCAUCCAUAGCCAUAUCCAUAUCCAAUUAUCCAUUUCAGAUAUAUAUAAUGCUCCUAUAUAGCAGAUUAGCAGUGAUAAUCAACUAUAGAUAUAUAUAUACAAAAGAAGGAAAGAAUCGCAUUCGGCAGAUGUCGUUUCUUUCUUGCAUGAGAGGUGUUUGUUUCUUCCCAAGAUCAUGCUCAUGAGUUUACACAGAG